Unclassified non-coding RNA from Cavia aperea (Brazilian guinea pig), 323 nucleotides. Its record names the gene 7SK. It matches the Rfam family "7SK RNA". Rfam says of the family: 7SK was discovered as an abundant small nuclear RNA in the mid-70s but a possible function has only recently been suggested. Two independent studies have found that 7SK RNA binds the CDK9/cyclin T complex (known as elongation factor P-TEFb). The record is from Ensembl. NCBI's taxonomy places the organism in Eukaryota, Metazoa, Chordata, Mammalia, Rodentia, Caviidae.
GGAGGUGAGGGUGAUCUGGCUGCGACAUCUGUCACCCCAUGGAUCGCCAGAGUUGAUUCGUCUGAUCUGGCUGGCUAGGCAGGUGUCCCUUUCCUCCCUCAAUGACCCAUGUGCAUCCCUCCCAAAGCUGAGCGCUCACUUGGUCAGAGGACGACCACCCCCAACAGAGGAGGACUGUUCCUUAGUCAAGGUUAUAGCUGUGCUCCCUUGCUGGAAUCUCCAAACAAGCUCUCAAAACUGGGCUCCACUACUUGGGAGUUAUGUGAUCUUGGCAAAUUAAUUUAUACUUUGUUUUCCUCUUUAUUACAAGAGAGAGCACUAGU